This 107-nucleotide non-coding RNA is filed under the name Lysinibacillus xylanilyticus. RNAcentral describes it as "SAM-I sequence". It matches the Rfam family "SAM riboswitch aptamer (S box leader)". Rfam says of the family: The SAM riboswitch is found upstream of a number of genes which code for proteins involved in methionine or cysteine biosynthesis in Gram-positive bacteria. The SAM riboswitch acts at the level of transcription termination control. Lineage: Bacteria; Bacillati; Bacillota; Bacilli; Caryophanales; Bacillaceae. The record is from RNAcentral.
CUCUUAUCAAGAGUAGCUGAGGGACUGGCCCUAUGAAGCUCGGCAACCUCCUUUUUUUUAAGGAAGGUGCUAAAUCCUGCAAACGAUAAUCGUUUGAAAGAUAAGAG